AAAACUAUACUUUCAGGGAUCAUUUCUAUAGUGUUUUACUAGAGAAAUCUCAGUGAUCGUGUGGAGUAUUGAU
RNAcentral lists this small nucleolar RNA (73 nucleotides) under Dipodomys ordii (Ord's kangaroo rat). Its description in RNAcentral is "Small nucleolar RNA U3". It matches the Rfam family "Small nucleolar RNA U3", at positions 1 to 74 of the family's 219-position model. Rfam says of the family: Small nucleolar RNAs (snoRNAs) are involved in the processing and modification of rRNA in the nucleolus. Lineage: Eukaryota; Metazoa; Chordata; Mammalia; Rodentia; Heteromyidae. The record is from Rfam by way of RNAcentral.